RNAcentral lists this long non-coding RNA (214 nucleotides) under Panax ginseng (ginseng). RNAcentral's name for it is "long non-coding RNA (PGIN_LNC004585)". The record is from RNAcentral. Lineage: Eukaryota; Viridiplantae; Streptophyta; Magnoliopsida; Apiales; Araliaceae.
ACAUAAUUCCCAAGUUGUACUUGUCUUUGACCUUUCCUUGUAUCCGAAGUAUUCGCCUAAUCUGCAAGUGUUUAUCAUGAUAUAGCAAGGGUAAGCAACAAAUUUGCCCAACAAGUAUAAGUUUAAUUGAGAAUAUAUCAUGAUUGAAAGAAUUUGAAUAACAGCUGGCUAACAUUCAACAAUAUAAUUGUGAACUAGCAUGAACAAACUUUCA